AUUCUGGUCAUGCCCCUAUCAUUGAGGAUGUAACUGGAACUGAACAUGCACUGGGCCCAGAUAUUCAUGGGACUGUUAUAGUUGAUGAUGAAGAUGACAAUGAAAUUUCAACUGAUCUAACUGGAUGGUCUGCACAACAGACUGAGCAAAGAGGUGAUAUUUCUAGUGGCAGUGCUCAUGAGACUCAUAGUAGACCGAGUGCUCCUGAAUUUGAUAAGUUGCCAGACUACGGCAAUGACAUUGAAGAAGAAAUGAUUCGUGCUGCCAUAGAAGCUUCAAAACAGGAGGCUCAGGCUGCAGAGCAAGAAAAAGCAUUGCGAGAGCAUCAGGGAAAAACCAGAGCACCAGAAAUGGGAGCUUCUAAGCUAGAUGAGGUGGAGUUGGGGACGGUAGUGACCUCAAAUGGAAGGUUUAGGACAGGAAAGUUAUCUAUUCAAGAGGAAUCUGAAGAUGUGGAUGAGCAGCCUCUUGUUAGGCAUAGAUCAAGACGUACAUCUUCUGGCUCUAUUGAAUCAGCCAGAGAAGUUGGAGUCAUUGAGGCUAGUCCACCAUCCAGUCCUGGACAGAGUAAUAUAAGCAGUCACACCCAGCACAAUGGAAAUGCCUUCCAUUCUGAUGAGUGGGGAGGCAUAUCUUCUGAGGAGCAUGAUGAAGCUGUCAUGCUUGAGGCUGCAAUGUUUGGUGGAAUUCCUGAAGGGACUGGAUAUCGCUAUCCAUAUGCACCUCAUCAGUUCAUUCAGAGUGAAGGCCCUUAUUCACAGCGGAUGCCUCGUCCCCCUUCACCAUCCUUACAAUCUCAGCGGUUGAUCCGUGAACAGCAGGAUGACGAGUAUCUCGCAUCAUUGGCAGCUGACAGGGAAAAGGAGAUGAAGGCCAUGGAGGAAGCUGAAGCCCGUCGUUUGCAAGAAGAAGCUGCUAGGAAAGCUUCGCUUGAAGAAGAAAGGGAAAAAGAGGAAAAAUCUCGAAAGAAAUUGGAAGAAGAGCAGGAAUUUGAAAGACUGUUGGCAGCAAAAGAAGCUUCUCUGUCUCAGGAGCCAGAAUCCAAUGAUGAGAAAGCUGUUACACUUUUGGUGCGGAUGCCUGAUGGUACCCGUCGUGGCCGCCGAUUUCUCAAAUCUGACAACUUGCAGUCUCUUUUUGACUUCAUAGAUAUUGGUAGGGUGGUCAAGCCUGGCACUUAUAGACUGGUAAGGCCAUACCCAAGGCGUGCUUUCAGUGAUGG
This 1222-nucleotide unclassified non-coding RNA is filed under the name Hevea brasiliensis (rubber tree). Lineage: Eukaryota; Viridiplantae; Streptophyta; Magnoliopsida; Malpighiales; Euphorbiaceae. The record is from RNAcentral.